RNAcentral lists this long non-coding RNA (210 nucleotides) under Nicotiana benthamiana. RNAcentral's name for it is "long non-coding RNA (NBEN_LNC000325)". Lineage: Eukaryota; Viridiplantae; Streptophyta; Magnoliopsida; Solanales; Solanaceae. The record is from RNAcentral.
AGAUUCACGAAUAAGCAAGGUCGAAAGCUAGGGUACACCUGCGAUUUACCAACAAACAAAUUCGCAAUUUUGCUUUGACAAAAUACUGAUUUCGAGAGAUUAAGAGUGGGAGGCAAUACUGCAUUUUUACUAGUGCAGAGUACUUGGGAUCCACGAAUGAGCAAGGUCGAAAGCUAGGGUGCACCUGCUUCACCAACAAACAAAUUUGCA